GACGAACGCUGGCGGCGUGCCUAAUACAUGCAAGUAGAACGCACAGUUUAUACCGUAGCUUGCUCCACCAUAAACUGUGAGUUGCGAACGGGUGAGUAACGCGUAGGUAACCUGCCUGGUAGCGGGGGAUAACUAUUGGAAACGAUAGCUAAUACCGCAUAAUAUUGAUUAUUGCAUGAUAAUUGAUUGAAAGAUGCUAUUGCAUCACUACCAGAUGGACCUGCGUUGUAUUAGCUAGUAGGGGAGGUAACGGCUCACCUAGGCGACGAUACAUAGCCGAACUGGUAGGGUGGUCGGCCACACUGGGGCUGGGACACGGCCCAGGCUCCUGCGGGACGCCGCAGUAGGGGAUCUUCGGCAAUAGACGGAAGUCUGACCGAGCGACGCCGCGUGAGUGAAGGAGGUUCUCGGAUCGUAAAGCUCUGUUGUAAGAGAAGAACGGGUGUGAGAGUGGAAAGUUCACACUGUGACGGUAUCUUAACAGAAAGGGACGGCUAACUACGUG
RNAcentral lists this ribosomal RNA (505 nucleotides) under uncultured bacterium. RNAcentral's name for it is "partial 16S ribosomal RNA". It matches the Rfam family "Bacterial small subunit ribosomal RNA", at positions 28 to 507 of the family's 1533-position model. The record is from RNAcentral.